CGCCAUCAGUAGUAUCAGCACACUGACGACAUGGUUCUACAGAAACCAGGAUUAGAUACCCCGUUAUGGUAAGAGAAAAAUAGGCCGUAUUAGUAAGAGUUAUAUUCUUUAAAAUUAAAAAUUUGGCGGUGUUUCAUUUUAAUAGGGGAACUUGUUUUAUAAUUCGAUAAACCACGUUUUAUUCUUCUUAGUUUAAAAUUUUGUAUACCGUCAUUACAGGUAAUUUUUAGAAAAUUAAAUACUAAAAUUUAAUUACAUUAAAAGAAAUUAGAUCAAGGUGCAGAAUAUAAUUAAGAAAAAAUGAGUUACAAUAAGAUUAUAGUUUAUUAUGGAUAGUUUUUGAAACGAAAACUUGAAGGAGGACUUGUUUGUAAUUAUUAAAUAAAAAUAAAUAAUGAAAAAGAUUCUGAAACAUGUACAUAUCGCCCGUCGCUAGACCAAGUCUCUGCUACCGUAGCUGAUACUACUGAGCGGGCUGG
RNAcentral lists this ribosomal RNA (479 nucleotides) under Porcellana sayana. RNAcentral's name for it is "partial 12S ribosomal RNA". Lineage: Eukaryota; Metazoa; Arthropoda; Malacostraca; Decapoda; Porcellanidae. The record is from RNAcentral.